AAUGCAAACUGUUCUAUCGCCCCGAUCUCGCAUCGGGGAGGAAAGUCCGGGCAACGCAGAGCAUCUCGCUUCCUAACGGGAAGGGGUUUGGGAUUGAAGACCUGAACCACGGAAAGUGCCACAGAAAAUAUACCACCCAGCGCAAGUUGGGAAAGGGUGAAAACGUGAGGUAAGAGCUCACGAACUUUGUUAGUGAUAGCAAGGUUGGUAAACCCCGGGAGUUGAAAGACCAAAUAGGCUAACGUACGUAGGGCUGCUCGUCCGAUGUUAGUGGGUAGGUCGUUAGAGGUAAGCGGCAACGCUUGCAGUAGAUUAAUGAUAGAAACCUAACCUUGUGUUGGGAACAGAACCCGGCUUAUAGGUUUGCAUUUUUA
RNAcentral lists this RNase P RNA (374 nucleotides) under Pedobacter sp. Its description in RNAcentral is "RNase P RNA component class A". It matches the Rfam family "Bacterial RNase P class A". Rfam says of the family: Ribonuclease P (RNase P) is a ubiquitous endoribonuclease, found in archaea, bacteria and eukarya as well as chloroplasts and mitochondria. Its best characterised activity is the generation of mature 5'-ends of tRNAs by cleaving the 5'-leader elements of precursor-tRNAs. Cellular RNase Ps are ribonucleoproteins. The record is from RNAcentral. Lineage: Bacteria; Pseudomonadati; Bacteroidota; Sphingobacteriia; Sphingobacteriales; Sphingobacteriaceae.